This 466-nucleotide ribosomal RNA is filed under the name uncultured bacterium. RNAcentral's name for it is "partial 16S ribosomal RNA". It matches the Rfam family "Bacterial small subunit ribosomal RNA", at positions 28 to 507 of the family's 1533-position model. The record is from RNAcentral.
GAUGAACGCUGGCGGCGUGCUUAACACAUGCAAGUCGAACGAUGAAGCCCAGCUUGCUGGGUGGAUUAGUGGCGAACGGGUGAGUAACACGUGAGUAACCUGCCCUUAACUCUGGGAUAAGCCUGGGAAACUGGGUCUAAUACCGGAUAGGAGCGUCCACCGCAUGGUGGGUGUUGGAAAGAUUUAUCGGUUUUGGAUGGACUCGCGGCCUAUCAGCUUGUUGGUGAGGUAAUGGCUCACCAAGGCGACGACGGGUAGCAGGCCUGAGAGGGUGACCGGCCACACUGGGACUGAGACACGGCCCAGACUCCUACGGGAGGCAGCAGUGGGGAAUAUUGCUCAAUGGGCGCAAGCCUGAUGCAGCGACGCCGCGUGAGGGAUGACGGCCUUCGGGUUGUAAACCUCUUUCAGUAGGGAAGAAGCGAAAGUGACGGUACCUGCAGAAGAAGCACCGGCUAACUACGUG